UUUUCUUUUUUUUUUUUUAAGGGUACUAAGCUUAGAAUUAAAUAAAGAUAGAGAUGUGGAAAGAAUCCAUGGGAGUGGUGUUAACACCCUUGAUAUUGAACCUAUUGAGGGAAGAUACAUGUUAUCAGGAGGAUCAGAUGGAAUAAUUGUACUUUAUGACCUUGAAAACUUCAGCAGAAAACCAUGUUAUACAUGUAAAGCAAUUUGUUCUGUGGGCAGGAGCCAUCCUGAUGUACAUAAAUUCAGUGUAGAGACAGUUCAAUGGUACCCUCAUGACACUGGCAUGUUUACAUCAAGCUCAUUUGAUAAAACCCUGAAAAUAUGGGAUACAAACACAUUACAACCUGCAGAUGUAUUUACUUUUGAGGGAACAGUUUAUAGCCAUCAUAUGUCUCCAGUUGCCACUAAGCAUUGCUUAAUAGCAGUUGGUACCAAAAGCCCCAAAGUACAGCUUUGUGACUUGAAGUCUGGAUCCUGUUCUCAAAUUCUGCAGGGUCACAGACAGGAAGUUCUGGCAGUGGCCUGGUCCCCGCGUUAUGAGUAUGUCUUGGCAACUGCAAGUGCUGACAGUAGAGUAAAACUGUGGGAUGUGAGGAGAGCGUCCGGAUGUCUGAUUACUCUUGAUCAGCACAAUGGGGAGAAAUCAAAAGCAUCUUCUGAAGCAGCAAACACUGCUCAUAAUGGACGAGUUAAUGGCUUAUGCUUUACAAGUGAUGGGCUUCAUCUUCUGACUAUUGGUACGGAUAACCGGAUGAGACUCUGGAAUAGUUCCAGUGGAGAAAACACACUGGUGAACUACGGAAAAGUUUGUAAUGAAAGCAGAAAAGGUCUCAAAUUCACGAUCUCUAUUGGCUGUGAUCCAGAAUUUGCAUUUGUACCAUAUGGUAGCACCAUUGCUGUUUAUACAAUUCACUCAGGAGAACUGAUAACUAUGCUUAGGGGACAUUAUAGUACUGUUGACUGCUGUGUAUUUCAGCCCAAUUUUCAGGAACUAUACAGUGGUAGCAAAGAUUGCAAUAUCCUUGCAUGGGUUCCAGCUCUACGAGAGCCAAUUCCUGAUGAAGAUACUGAAAAGCAGCCCACCAUUGAUCACAAUUCUGAUACAUAUUGGCUAUUCCUCCCCUGCCUACCAUUUCUAGAGGAAGUUUAAAGGUGUAGCACUGCCUUUGCAAGCCAUACCCCUUCUUCUGCUUGCUGAUGGAUCUUCUCCUUCUGUGACAGCUGUCAGGUUUUUCACAGCAGUGGAAUGAAUCAUCUGGCAGCAACAAGAGGAGAGGAAUGUGGCUAGCACAGGCUCUGCUGCAGCUUUGAAUUGCCUCUACAACUUGCAUACAGGAAAAAUAUAGCCAAUAUUUAAAAGAAUUGUGGGAGAUACUACUAGUAGAAAGGAAAUUGACAACACUUAAAUCCAGCAUUUGAAGAUGGAUGGAGCAGCAGUGAUGAUGAAGGAUGAAUCUCAGUUCACUGUUGACAUAACAUUCAUGCACUGUGUUUGUGGAGAAGGACUUCAUCUCCAGAAUUGAACAAGUAUUUGUCAUCAAGUCUUUGUAGUAAAGCCCAGGCUUACAGAAAUGAGAUUUUACUGUAAAGUUUCUUUUCAUGUACUAUCUUAAUGUUUCUUCUGUGUUGUUACUAUAUUUUAAAAUAGUAUUCUUUUAUUUAUCUGGACUUCUCAUCCUCUUCCCAUACACCUACUCCCAAUCUUUAGGCACUGCAAUUGUAUAGGUAUAUUGUACCUACAUAUUAAGAAAAGCAAAACUUCUGAUGAUCAGCUGCUAGUACACAUCAUCUCUCUUCUUGUGUCGUUAAAAUGGUGAUUCCUUCCAUUUCCAGGGGACCGAAGUGGAAUAGAUUUGAUGGAUGAAUGUGGAGAGGAGCUGGGUGUAUAAGUCCCAGUUCCUUAGUGUGACCCCAUUUUACAGAAGCCUCUGCACAAGUGAGUUGUGAAAUCCAGAUUGCUCAGUUAGAUAAAACCAGACCUGCUUCCUUCGAUCUAGAUAUUUAUAUAGGCCCCAUCAAUUAAUAUCUAAUCCCAUUUAUUUAAAAAUAGAAGCAAAUUACAUGGAAUAGGAUCAUACUGAUCCUGUUAACAGAAUCAUAAGAUUAGUGGGCAUUCUCUGCUGCAUGAAACCCUCCCUAAGUGGAGGGGAGAAUUCAUGGAUAGUCAUAGGCAAACACUGACAGCUGAAGAGUCAGAAUGGGAAUGAGAAAGGGAAAGCUGGUGCUGAGUCAGCGGGCCUGUGCCAAUGUGGUAUGAUGUGAUUAAGAUUGAACCUCCCACCUGUUCUGGGAAUGCAGGACCUUCUCUUCCUUUCUCAGCCCGAUGAUUUAGAGAAGUUUCGGCAAGCUGUGUUUCCUGUCUCUGUUGUGUAUGUUUUCCCUCUUUGGGUAUAGUGUAGCUUUAUAGAUUUAACAAGCCUCAAGUCAGAAGAAAAAAUUGAAUAAAAUUAAAGUGUAAAAAGUCAUUCAAAAUGUCUUCAUUUCAACUGAAUAUGUGGCUAGUGUCUUUGCUCUAUACUGUUCUGUGGGUCAGUUCCUAGGCCAGCACUGGGCUGAAUAUGGUACACUCACUAUUCCCUGAGGACUGAGUUAAGGAGCUGCACUGAAAGGCUUCCUAUAAAAUGGAAGAAGGAUGGUUGGGUUGCAAUUUUUCCAUGGAAAAAGGAAGAGAAGGGAAAAAUUUAUAUCAAAUGGCGGAGCAGGCUUCAAAUAAGGAGAAAAGUGUUACGGAACUGAAUGGAAAACAUACGCCUUGUGUACUGUAUGUAACUAACAGAAUUAGUGCACACUUCAGAAUUACAUUUCUCAAUAUCUCAUAUGUUUUUUUUUUUUUAAAUGCAUAUCAUUCCAUAUAAUAGUUCAGUGAAAGGGGCCUGGAGAGACUCAAGGAAAUCCUUGUAAUUAAGUGUUAAUAUAGAGAAUAUUUAAGUUUAUAAUACCAAGAAAUGCUGAACCCAAAAUUUGACCUCCCUCUAAGUUGUUAUGAAACUAUGUAAGUUAGCGACAUAGAGAUUUUUAAAAAGUCACUUAAUUUUAGUUCAAGGGACCAGUAUGGACCCUCUAAGUGUAGGAAAAUAUAACAAAUUGAAAUUGGCUCUCAAAGGAAACUUUCAUUUAAUUACCAAUUGUUCUUUUCCUCCUGAAGUCUGGUGUAUCUUUGUAACUUAAUGAAAAUAAGCUUUAUUUACAAACAAAAAGCAAAGUGGAUAAUCUAUUUGUUAUUCCUGGGCAACAUUUUUAUUACAUGUUCUGUAAAGAUACAAAUGCUACAUAUACAGCAUAUAGAAUUUCUAUUUCACGUUUCCAAAUUUAAUAAAAAGGUGUUUUUGUUUUGAGAGUCAUGUUAAUUAAAUCCUGUGUUUUGUAAA
Pelodiscus sinensis (Chinese soft-shelled turtle) is the source of this 3368-nucleotide non-coding RNA. The record is from RefSeq and is a predicted model, not a curated record. NCBI's taxonomy places the organism in Eukaryota, Metazoa, Chordata, Testudines, Trionychidae.